UGGGGAAUUUUGGACAAUGGGCGAAAGCCUGAUCCAGCAAUGCCGCGUGUGUGAAGAAGGCCUUCGGGUUGUAAAGCACUUUUGUCCGGAAAGAAAUCCUUGGCUCUAAUACAGUCGGGGGAUGACGGUACCGGAAGAAUAAGCACCGGCUAACUACGUGCCAGCAGCCGCGGUAAUACGUAGGGUGCAAGCGUUAAUCGGAAUUACUGGGCGUAAGCGUGCGCAGGCGGUUUGCUAAGACCGAUGUGAAAUCCCCGGGCUCAACCUGGGAACUGCAUUGGUGACUGGCAGGCUAGAGUAUGGCAGAGGGGGGUAGAAUUCCACGUGUAGCAGUGAAAUGCGUAGAGAUGUGGAGGAAUACCGAUGGCGAAGGCAGCCCCCUGGGCCAAUACUGACGCUCAUGCACGAAAGCGUGGGGGAGCAAACAGGAUUAGAUACCCUGGUAGUCCACGCCCUAAACGAUGUCAACUAGUUGUUGGGGAUUCAUUUCCUUAGUAACGUAGCUAACGCGCGAAGUUGACCGCCUGGGGAGUACGGUCGCAAGAUUAAAACUUAAAUGAAUUGACGGGGU
This 571-nucleotide ribosomal RNA is filed under the name uncultured bacterium. RNAcentral describes it as "partial 16S ribosomal RNA". It matches the Rfam family "Bacterial small subunit ribosomal RNA", at positions 355 to 919 of the family's 1533-position model. The record is from RNAcentral.